UGAGCUUUGUUGGGACCCACAUUUAGUGCUAGCUCUCUGCACUGAAGAGGUAAAAUUUCUUCAUAGCAUGAGGAGUUUCAUCUCCUGGUCUGUCUAUCUAUGAAGCUGCACCACACAGACUGGCUUUGCUUGAGACCAUGGAGUAAGUGCAAGCUGAAUGCUAAUGAAAGGUGAAAGACUGGCAGAAGAGAGCCGUUCAGAGUGGCACUUCAUGUCUAAGCAGAGGGGUCUCCUUACGGAAAAUCAUUUAUUGCACCAGGAACAGAAGGAUGUAAGGAGGCUGAUGAACUGCAGAACCACAGGAAAUAUAUUCAACCCUUCUAGCAUCUGUGAAGACCACAUUACUCUUGAAUGCUUGCUUGCUACUCUGGGUGUGACUAGAAAAGGAGGGGCCAUUGAGAAGGAAGUGGAAGGAAGCUGGACAACCCCAAAGAGAACCAUAAACACAAACUUAUUUUCAAGACCAAAACCCAGCGGUGCAAGGAAACUUAUAUAAGAGAAAUGAUUGCAGCAAACAAACUCUCUGCCACCUGUUGUCUUAAAGAGAUGUGGCCAGUGUUGGCAGCUUUAAUGAAGGAGCUGAGCUUGUUCUUAGUAAUUUGAUAAGUUUUGAUAAAAUGGAAGUAUGUGAUUUAUCUCCCCAAACUGAGAGAAACCUAUCUCUUCCCAUAUAUUUUAAUAAGGUUUACUGUAGUGGGUAAAUAUGGAAUAACUUUAGCUGUACAAAGCAGUCUAUGAAGAAGCUGAGGGCCUGUUACUAACCCUCUCAUUCAAUAAGUCUUUGAAAUGUGCUUUAGCUCAAAUCUUAACAUUUGGGAUUUUGUUUCUACUUAUUAAGCUGUUUACUUGUUUCACUUUUGCUGGUUGUCUUAUAGCCAUGGAACUUUGCAAAGAGAAUUUUAACAAAAUUUUGUGCUAAAUACAGACACUGAAUCCAAAUGCCUAACGGUAAUUCCUCUGCACAUGUUUAUAUAGACAUAAAAAUGCAUUUAAUAAAGCUCGGUAUUGCUAUACGGAAACAUAUGUGUAUGGAUAGGAAAAAUAUAUGUACAAAAAUGUAUAAAUGUUAUAGCUACUUGCUCUUGGUAGUUAUUUUUUGAGAGAAAAGAGGUUUGGAAACAAUUAAAGGAUCCAUCCAAUAAAAUUUAAUUACUUCAUUUAGUUAGGUGGAGAUUUUUGCAAGAAAUAGGAGAACACACCUGACAACAGAAAACUGCAGUUUGACAUGGAGCACAGAACCCAUUUGUUUUAAUUUAUUAAGAUACAUGGGAAAAUGUGAGAAUAUUUUG
This is a long non-coding RNA of Hirundo rustica (Barn swallow), 1289 nucleotides long. RefSeq lists it as uncharacterized. NCBI's taxonomy places the organism in Eukaryota, Metazoa, Chordata, Aves, Passeriformes, Hirundinidae. The transcript is spliced from 4 exons. The record is from RefSeq and is a predicted model, not a curated record.